This 992-nucleotide ribosomal RNA is filed under the name Pseudonocardia sp. D2B56. RNAcentral's name for it is "partial 16S ribosomal RNA". It matches the Rfam family "Bacterial small subunit ribosomal RNA", at positions 195 to 1196 of the family's 1533-position model. The record is from RNAcentral. Lineage: Bacteria; Bacillati; Actinomycetota; Actinomycetes; Pseudonocardiales; Pseudonocardiaceae.
GGUGGNGGAAAGUUUUUUCNNUGGGGGANGGGCCCNCGGNNUAUCNNCUUGUUGGUGGGGUGAUGGCCUACCAAGGCNACNACNGGUAGCCNNCCUGANAGGGCGACCGGNNACNCUNNNACUGANACACGGCCCANACUCCUACNGGAGGCANCANUGGGGAAUAUUGCGCAAUGGGCGGAANCCUGACGCAGCGACNCCNCGUGGGGGAUGACGGCCUUCGGGUUGUAAACCUCUUUCNACUUCNACNAANCCUCUUGGGGUGACGGUAGGGGUGGAAGAAGCACCGGCCAACUACGUGCCAGCAGCCGCGGUAACACGUAGGGUGCGAGCGUUGUCCGGAAUUAUUGGGCGUAAAGAGCUCGUAGGCGGUGUGUCGCGUCGGCCGUGAAAACCUGUGGCUUAACUAUGGGCUUGCGGUCGAUACGGGCAUCACUGGAGUUCGGCAGGGGAGACUGGAAUUCCUGGUGUAGCGGUGAAAUGCGCAGAUAUCAGGAGGAACACCGGUGGCGAAGGCGGGUCUNNNNGCCGAUACUGACGCUGAGGAGCGAAAGCGUGGGGAGCGAACAGGAUUAGAUACCCUGGUAGUCCACGCCGUAAACGUUGGGCGCUAGGUGUGGGGGCCAUUCCACGGUCUCUGUGCCGUAGCUAACGCAUUAAGCGCCCCGCCUGGGGAGUACGGCCGCAAGGCUAAAACUCAAAGGAAUUGACGGGGGCCCGCACAAGCGGCGGAGCAUGUGGAUUAAUUCGAUGCAACGCGAAGAACCUUACCUGGGUUUGACAUGCACCAGACGCUGGUAGAGAUAUCAGUUCCCUUGUGGUUGNGUGUGCAGGUGGUGCAUGGCUGUCGUCAGCUCGUGUCNUGAGAUGUUGGGUUAAGUCCCGCAACGAGCGCAACCCUUGUUCCAUGUUGCCAGCGCGUUAUGGCGGGGACUCAUGGGAGACUGCCGGGGUCAACUCGGAGGAAGGUGGGGAUGANGUCAAGUCAUCAU